ACAGGGAUUGCCCUAGUAACGGCGAGUGAAGCGGCAACAGCUCAAAUUUGAAAUCUGGCGUCUUCGGCGUCCGAGUUGUAAUUUGCAGAGGGCGCUUUGGCAUUGGCAGCGGUCCAAGUUCCUUGGAACAGGACGUCACAGAGGGUGAGAAUCCCGUACGUGGUCGCUAGCCUUUACCGUGUAAAGCCCCUUCGACGAGUCGAGUUGUUUGGGAAUGCAGCUCUAAAUGGGAGGUAAAUUUCUUCUAAAGCUAAAUACUGGCCAGAGACCGAUAGCGCACAAGUAGAGUGAUCGAAAGAUGAAAAGCACUUUGGAAAGAGAGUUAAAAAGCACGUGAAAUUGUUGAAAGGGAAGCGCUUGCAGCCAGACUUGCCUGUAGUUGCUCAUCCGGGUUUCUACCCGGUGCACUCUUCUAUAGGCAGGCCAGCAUCAGUUUGGGCGGUUGGAUAAAGGUCUCUGUCAUGUACCUCCUCUCGGGGAGAACUUAUAGGGGAGACGACAUGCAACCAGCCCGGACUGAGGUCCGCGCAUCUGCUAGGAUGCUGGCGUAAUGGCUGUAAGCGGCCCGUCUUGAAACACGGACCAAGGAGUCUAACAUCUAUGCGAGUGUUUGGGUGUCAAGCCCGAGCGCGUAAUGAAAGUGAACGGAGGUGGGAACCUUUCGGGGUGCACCAUCGACCGAUCCUGAUGUCUUCGGAUGGAUUUGAGUAAGAGCAUAGCUGUUGGGACCCGAAAGAUGGUGAACUAUGCUUGAAUAGGGUGAAGCCAGAGGAAACUCUGGUGGAGGCUCGCAGCGGUUCUGACGUGCAAAUCGAUCGUCAAAUUUGGGCAUAGGGGCGAAAGACUAAUCGAACUAUCUAGUAGCUGGUUCCUGCCGAAGUUUCCCUCAGGAUAGCAGUAACGUUUUCAGUUUUAUGAGGUAAAGCGAAUGAUUAGAGGCCUGGGGGUUGAAACAACCUU
This 960-nucleotide ribosomal RNA is filed under the name Epicoccum plurivorum. Its description in RNAcentral is "partial large subunit ribosomal RNA". It matches the Rfam family "Eukaryotic large subunit ribosomal RNA", at positions 68 to 1048 of the family's 3401-position model. The record is from RNAcentral. RNAcentral also lists the same sequence under 2 other names. Lineage: Eukaryota; Fungi; Ascomycota; Dothideomycetes; Pleosporales; Didymellaceae.